UACGUAGGGUGCGAGCGUUGUCCGGAAUUAUUGGGCGUAAAGAGCUCGUAGGCGGCUUGUCGCGUCGGAUGUGAAAGCCCGGGGCUUAACUCCGGGUCUGCAUUCGAUACGGGCAGGCUAGAGUUCGGUAGGGGAGAUCGGAAUUCCUGGUGUAGCGGUGAAAUGCGCAGAUAUCAGGAGGAACACCGGUGGCGAAGGCGGGUCUCUGGGCAACAACUGACGCUGAGGAGCGAAAGCGUGGGGAGCGAACAGG
This 253-nucleotide ribosomal RNA is filed under the name uncultured bacterium. Its description in RNAcentral is "partial 16S ribosomal RNA". It matches the Rfam family "Bacterial small subunit ribosomal RNA", at positions 524 to 776 of the family's 1533-position model. The record is from RNAcentral.